GGGUUGUGAGGUUAAGCGACUAAGCGUACACGGUGGAUGCCCUGGCAGUCAGAGGCGAUGAAGGGCGUGCUAAUCUGCGAUAAGCGCCGGUAAGGUGAUAUGAACCGUUAUAACCGGCGAUACCCGAAUGGGGAAACCCAGUGUGAUUCGUCACACUAUCAUUACGUGAAUACAUAGCGUAAUGAAGCGAACCGGGGGAACUGAAACAUCUAAGUACCCCGAGGAAAAGAAAUCAACCGAGAUUCCCCCAGU
This 252-nucleotide ribosomal RNA is filed under the name Salmonella enterica. RNAcentral's name for it is "partial 23S ribosomal RNA". It matches the Rfam family "Bacterial large subunit ribosomal RNA", at positions 1 to 244 of the family's 2925-position model. Lineage: Bacteria; Pseudomonadati; Pseudomonadota; Gammaproteobacteria; Enterobacterales; Enterobacteriaceae. The record is from RNAcentral.